This 253-nucleotide ribosomal RNA is filed under the name uncultured bacterium. RNAcentral's name for it is "partial 16S ribosomal RNA". It matches the Rfam family "Bacterial small subunit ribosomal RNA", at positions 524 to 776 of the family's 1533-position model. The record is from RNAcentral.
UACGAAGGUGGCGAGCGUUGUUCGGAAUCACUGGGCUUAAAGCGUGUGUAGGCGGAUUUGUAAGUACCUUGUGAAAUCCCAUGGCUCAACCAUGGAACUGCUCGGUAUACUGCGAAUCUUGAGCCACUUAGGGGCUACCGGAACAAAUGGUGGAGCGGUGAAAUGCGUAGAUAUCAUUUGGAACGCCAAUGGUGAAAACAGGUAGCUGGGAGUGUGCUGACGCUGAGACACGAAAGCCAGGGGAGCGAACGGG